RNAcentral lists this ribosomal RNA (254 nucleotides) under uncultured bacterium. RNAcentral's name for it is "partial 16S ribosomal RNA". It matches the Rfam family "Bacterial small subunit ribosomal RNA", at positions 524 to 776 of the family's 1533-position model. The record is from RNAcentral.
UACGUAGGGUGCGAGCGUUGUCCGGAUUUAUUGGGCGUAAAGGGCUCGUAGGCGGCUUGUCGCGUCGGGAGUGAAAGCCCGCUGCUUAACGGCGGGUUUGCUUUCGGUACGGGCAGGCUGGAGUACGGCAGGGGAGACUGGAAUUCCUGGUGUAGCGGUGAAAUGCGCAGAUAUCAGGAAGAACACCCGUGGCUAAGGCGGCUCUCUAGUACGGUACUGACGCUGAGACGCGAAAAGCGUGGGGAGCGAACAGG